GCCUGGCAUAGUUUUGCAUGCCUGUAGUCCCAGUUACUUGUGAGAAACUGAUGCAGGNCUGAUGCAGGAGGAUCGCUUGAGCCCAAGAGUUCUGGGCUAUAGUGUACUAUGCGGAUUGGGUAUCCACACUAAGUUUGACAUCAAUAUGGUGACAUCCUAAGAGCAGGGGACCACCAGGUUGCCUAAAGAGGGUUGAACUAGCUCAGAUCAGAAACUAGUAGGUCAAAACUCCCAUCCUUAUCAGUAGUUGGGAUGGCGUCUGUGAAUAACCACUUCUCUUCAGCCUCUGCAACAUAUCAAGACCUCAUUU
Molecule: signal recognition particle RNA, 310 nt
Filed under: Vulpes vulpes (red fox)
Lineage: Eukaryota; Metazoa; Chordata; Mammalia; Carnivora; Canidae
Description: Metazoan signal recognition particle RNA (ENSVVUG00000004128.1)
Rfam family: Metazoan signal recognition particle RNA
About the family: The signal recognition particle (SRP) is a universally conserved ribonucleoprotein. It is involved in the co-translational targeting of proteins to membranes.
Source: RNAcentral